Long non-coding RNA from Sorghum bicolor (sorghum), 1057 nucleotides. RefSeq lists it as uncharacterized. NCBI's taxonomy places the organism in Eukaryota, Viridiplantae, Streptophyta, Magnoliopsida, Poales, Poaceae. The transcript has 2 exons. The record is from RefSeq and is a predicted model, not a curated record.
AUAGAUUCUUUUUAUUAGCAAAAAAUAAUAGGUAUUCAGCUGAAUACCCUUGAUUUCAAGUGGGUCUUUGACCAUGAUUUUUCGAACGUUAAAUCCAUAUAACGGUGGCCUCUCACCCAUUCUUUUCCUCUCUUUCUUAUCUCUUUGAGUCAGACACGCAGAGACAGAGGAAAGGGGAGGAGACAGCCAUGGGACAUAGUAGCCGGCGCUGCCUACGGCUCGUGCGAGGCAGCGGCGUGGUCCUCGGCGGUUGCAGCAGGGGGCGCGACCGUCCAUGGCGUGCGGCUCCCUGGCAGCUGCAGCAGGGGCGCGGCUGGCCGGGAGUGCGCGGCGUCCCCUAGCUCAGCGCGUUUCGUGGCGCGUCCUGGCGCGUGGCAGUGGUGGCGCGGCUCGCCUGCGGCCUGCGCGCGGCCGGCCCAUGCCCGAGCGGGCAGUGGCGUGGUCCGCCCGACGGCGUCCGCGGCCUCCCGGCGGCAUGUGACGCACGGUGGCCGGUUGUCGAGCCCGCAGUUCGGCGUUCCCACGGCCACGACCACCGCGUUCACGACCCUGCAGGGGCAGGAUUCGCGUGAUGACGGGGCUAGAGGCACCCGCGCGUCCGCGUAUCGAUCCGCACGUCUUUAGGACGUUGGUGGCUUGGCCCGCAUGCACAUCUUCAGGAUGGCAGCGAGAUACCAGCGUUUGUUCAUGAACAAGAAUAUGACUGUGCGGACGACUGGAAUGGACGAAUGCAACCAGUCACGACAAAGAUAUGCUCGUGCACGUGUUCUACUGCUCGGCAGGCCAACGGCGUUUAACUAGUUGUCUAGAUAUCUACGGUGGCGGAUACUUGUCGGCAAGGGAAGAUAAGAAAGAGAAGGAAGAAGAAGAUGGCACGUGGAACCCGCGUGUCAGUGAGUGACAGGGAGAGGGGCACUGCAAUGAAAUAUACGUCUUCAUAUAUGCCUGCAGCUAGGUCAAAAUUGUUUGUAUACAUAUCUUGUGACAUUCUUGUGAGAAACAAAGAAUUGUAAUAGCACAUUUCAAAAUAAGUGAAUAGUAAUGAUGUUUCUCCGAA